GCAUUCGCUCAAUCUAUCACUCCCUCUCUGUCUCUCUCCCUUUUUUUGAAUUAUGUCAUCUCUUUCCGUAUCGGUCUCCUGCUGAUUUGGAGUUUUCAAUUCUACUCCCCGCCGUGUAUACUCCCGGGUAUAUUUCUGCGGUUAGCUUUACUGUCAACCGCUUCUGUGUUGGUGUAUGUGCGUGUGUGUGUAUAGGUGGAGAUUGACAGCUUUUCAUUUCAUUUCAAUCUUGCCCAUCAGCACACGAGUCACGGUGGUCAAAACGUAACUCGAGCCUUGCCGAACGAACCGAACAGAGCGGGUAUUAUUCACGUCGCAGCGUAUACAGAUACUUGCAACAACCGGUCCUUACAUCCGACCUCAGCUUGACUGCAAGGAUGAAGUUUAACAACGAUCUACUGCAUUCCUUAAAGGAAAAAGUCCUGAAGAUGGCGGCGCGAAAAAGACGAUUAGCAUUUGAGGCAAAGCAACGCGCUGCAAUGAGACGUUUAUUGCAGGAGCGUAAGAACGAACAGCAGCGACACCAUCAUCAUCCGUAUGGUCGCUAGCGCCCCGCACGAAACCCGCCAGCUUUGCCUGUUAUUGUUCGGCUGGGCAACAGUAUUUUGUCAUGAUUUCUUUCGGUCGGUGUUUACUACAAAUUGUUAGCUUUCUAAAUUUUCCAGUGGUCUUUUAGCUCAAUGUAGCCCCUUUACAAGAAUUUCUUGCGAUCAAUGACAAAUACACGGCUGAUUCCCAAAUGAUA
Long non-coding RNA from Anopheles funestus (African malaria mosquito), 745 nucleotides. RefSeq lists it as uncharacterized. The transcript has 3 exons. The record is from RefSeq and is a predicted model, not a curated record. Lineage: Eukaryota; Metazoa; Arthropoda; Insecta; Diptera; Culicidae.